AAGGAUGCCCUUAUGCUCUUGCUCUUCAGAUCUUAUACUUUUAGAUUUAAAUUGUGUUUGAUUUUUAAGAGAAAGAAACACGAGAAAAAAACAUCAGAUUGAUUCAUUCUAAUUUGAUUCAUCUUCUUCAACUAAUUUAAUUCACUUUCUCUCUCGAGAACAGAGGUAAGUGUUUCCGGCGAAGGAAGUGUCGUUGAACACCAUGAAUUGACUGACCAUUUAGUGGUACUCUCCCGGAGAGAUCGUUGAAAGAGAGAUAUAGCGUUGUUUGACUCGACAUGUUUCCGAUUCCGGUUGGGAUUAAACCGGUUAGUUGAUUACCGGAGAGAUUAAGUAUACCGAGGUUAAUCACGUUGUUGAUCUCUUUAGGUAUCUCUCCGUUGAUUCGGUUACGGCUGAGAUCUAUGGAGAUUAAAGUAGUGCAGCGUGAGAUUGAACUUGGGAUAACGCCGGUGAUGUUAUUCGCAAUCGUGUUGAUCUUCGAUAGAUGCUUCAAUUCGAAGAUCUCUCAUACUGCCGCGGAAUCGGUUCCGAUCUAAGAACAGAGUCUGUAAAUUAGGGAAAUGAUAGCCGGAGGAAUCUCGCCGGUGAACCAGUUGUUAGAGAGAUUGCUAUAGAAAGGGAGAAUGUAGUAAAAUGAUGAAAAGUCAAUCAUGCCAGCAUCUUUUGUCUCGUUCAAAACUCGUUGGGCUGCUGCUGUUUGCGCUCAGACCACACAGACACGAAACCCAACGAAAUGGCUAACCGAAUGGGCUGCAGAGCCGCGUGAUGUAUAUUGGCCAAACCUCGCCAUUCCAUAUGUUUCUUUGACUGUAAGAAGAUUGCUCAUGAAUGUAGCCUUCUUCUUCCUUACCUUCUUUUUCAUCAUCCCUAUUGCGUUUGUACAGUCUCUUGCUACUGUUGAGGGAAUUGAGAAAGUUGCACCGUUCUUGAAAGUCAUUAUUGAACAGUUUGCUAGCCGGUAUUGCGCUGAAGCUUUUCUUGAUCUUUCUGCCAUCCAUACUGAUGACCAUGUCCAAGUUUGAAGGCUUUACGUCAAUUUCAUCCUUGGAAAGACGAUCAGCGUCAAGAUAUUACAUUUUUAACUUAGUGAAUGUCUUUCUUGCAAAUGUUAUCGCUGGAGCUGCGUUUGAGCAGCUCAACUCUUUCCUCAAUCAAUCACCAAAUCAAAUCCCUAAGACAGUUGGCAUGGUGAUACCGAUGAAAGCAACCUUCUUUAUAACAUAUAUAAUGAUUGAUGGUUGGGCAGGAGUUGCAGGAGAGAUUCUCAUGCUUAAACCUCUCAUUAUAUUCCACCUCAAAAACGCAUUCUUGGUGAAAACAGAGAAAGACAGAGAGGAAGCAAUGGACCCAGGAAGCAUCGGUUUGUGUUUUUAUUAUGUACAUAGAGAGAGGUUUGUGUUUUUUUUUUUUUGCUUAGACGUUGUUGUUAAUGUGUUUCUUCUAUUGUCCAAGUAUUCAAGUGUCGGGGUCUUUACUU
Camelina sativa (false flax) is the source of this 1480-nucleotide non-coding RNA. The record is from RefSeq and is a predicted model, not a curated record. NCBI's taxonomy places the organism in Eukaryota, Viridiplantae, Streptophyta, Magnoliopsida, Brassicales, Brassicaceae.